AUGGCUAAGAAAGAGGUCUGGGUGGGGGUGUGGGGAGUCAGCAGCCAGGCAUGGGCCAUUGAGAAACAGAUGCCAGGGGAAGAGGAAAGGGGAGUCUCAGACCCCAAGGGGAAAAGAGUCACUGGAAAGAGGGGCCAGCCCCGUGUCACAUCCAGCAGAGACAUCAGGUCACAAACUACACACUGCAGCCCUGUGCCCCUCACACCCAGCAGGUUCCUGCUCCAGUGCAGCUCCUGGACUGGCCCCAGGUGCUGGCCCCGGGGGUUUCAAUCCAAGCAUACUUGACUGAAGUAUGUGUUUGGCAGCGGGACUCAGCUCACUGUUUUAGCUCAGCCCAAGGCAGCCCCCUCGGUCACUCUGUUCCCGCCGUCCUCUGAGGAGCUCCAAGCCAACAAGGCCACACUGGUGUGUCUCAUGAAUGACUUCUAUCCGGGAAGCUUGAGGGUGACCUGGAAGGCAGAUGGUACCCCCAUCACCCAGGGCGUGGAGAUGACCACACCCUCCAAACAGAGCAACAGCAAGUAUGCGGCCAGCAGCUACCUGAGCCUGACGCCCGAGCAGUGGAGGUCCCGCAGAAGCUACAGCUGCCAGGUCACGCAUGAAGGGAGCACCGUGGAGAAGACAGUGGCCCCUGCAGAAUGUUCAUAGGUUCCCAGCCCCCACCCCACCCACAGGGGCCUGGAGCUGCAGGAUCCCAGGGGAGGGGUCUCUCUCUGCAUCCCAAGCCAUCCAGCCCUUCUCCCUGCACUCAAUAAACCCUCAGUAAAUACCCUCUUUGUCAACCA
This is an RNA transcript of Nomascus leucogenys (northern white-cheeked gibbon), 785 nucleotides long. It is a transcript of the gene named immunoglobulin lambda-like polypeptide 1, with no coding region annotated. Lineage: Eukaryota; Metazoa; Chordata; Mammalia; Primates; Hylobatidae. The transcript has 3 exons. The record is from RefSeq and is a predicted model, not a curated record.